Molecule: ribosomal RNA, 698 nt
Filed under: Phaeoisaria clematidis
Lineage: Eukaryota; Fungi; Ascomycota; Sordariomycetes; Pleurotheciales; Pleurotheciaceae
Description: partial large subunit ribosomal RNA
Rfam family: Eukaryotic large subunit ribosomal RNA
Source: RNAcentral
GAUUUGAAAUCUGACCUUCGGGUCCGAGUUGUAAUCUGCAGAUGAGUCUUCCGGCAGAGCGCCGUCCAAGUGCCCUGGAACGGGUCGCCGGAGAGGGUGAGAGCCCCGUACCGACGCGCGCCGAGCCUCUGUGAAGCUCAUUCGAAGAGUCGAGUAGUUUGGAAAUGCUGCUCUAAUUGUGGGGUAAAUCUCCCAUAAGGCUAAAUACCGGCCAGAGACCGAUAGCGCACAAGUAGCGUGAGCGAAAGAUGAAAAGAGCCUUGAACAAGGGCGUCAAAAAGCAUGUGAAAUUGUUGUGGGGGAAGCGUUCGAUGCCAGACAUGGCGGCGGUUGGUUACCCGGCGUUCUUCGCCGGCGCACUCUGCCGUCGCCAGGCCAGCAUCAGUUCGGAUCGAGGCCUACUGCCAGUGGGAACGUGGCUCCUCCGGGAGUGUUAUAGCCCAUUGGUAACGUCUCGGACCGGACUGAGGACCGCGCUUCGGCUCGGAUGCUGGCGUAAUGGCCUCUAGCGACCCGUCUUGAAACACGGACCAAGGAGUUGACCUAGCGUGCGAGUGUUUGGGUGUCAAGCCCUUACGCGCAGUGAAAGCGAAUGCAGGUGGGAGCUUCGGCGCACCAUCGACCGAUCCUGAAGUUUACGGAUGGAUUUGAGUAAGAGCACGUUGGGUCUGACCCGAAAGAAGGUGAACUAUGCAUGA